RNAcentral lists this ribosomal RNA (481 nucleotides) under uncultured bacterium. Its description in RNAcentral is "partial 16S ribosomal RNA". It matches the Rfam family "Bacterial small subunit ribosomal RNA", at positions 28 to 507 of the family's 1533-position model. The record is from RNAcentral.
GAUGAACGCUGGCGGCGUGCCUAACACAUGCAAGUCGAGCGAAGCACUUACUUUAGAUUUCUUCGGAAUGACGAAGUUUGUGACUGAGCGGCGGACGGGUGAGUAACUCGUGGGCAACCUGCCCUGUACAGGGGGAUAACAGUUAGAAAUGACUGCUAAUACCGCAUAAGCCCACAGCUUCGCAUGAAGCAGUGGGAAAAACUCCGGUGGUACAGGAUGGGCCCGCGUCUGAUUAGCUAGUUGGUAAGGUAACGGCUUACCAAGGCGACGAUCAGUAGCCGACCUGAGAGGGUGACCGGCCACAUUGGGACUGAGACACGGCCCAAACUCCUACGGGAGGCAGCAGUGGGGAAUAUUGCACAAUGGGGGAAACCCUGAUGCAGCGACGCCGCGUGAGCGAUGAAGUAUUUCGGUAUGUAAAGCUCUAUCAGCAGGGAAGAAAGUGACGGUACCUGACUAAGAAGCCCCGGCUAACUACGUG